GGAGUACAGCUACUCUAUGAGAAAGUAUGACCGGAUGGUGUGGUUUCACCUAAGCUUCUUCGGAUCCAACCCACUGGAGAGAUCGGUGCGGUUCGUGAGGAACCUAGUGUUCGAGAGGCUGCAACAACGGGCAGAAAGAGAAGGUCAGUUGGCACGUUGGGAGAAACUCCAGCGGCAGAUGCAGCAGGGAAUUGGGAGCCCAGUCUCCACUCCCCAGCGGCAGUGUGAUAUGCCGGGAAUUGGGAGCCCAGUCUCCAUUCCCCAGCGGCAGUGUAAAGUGCAGGGAGAGGAGAGCAGCGUCCUCCCUCCCCAGUGGCAGGCUGAGUUACAGGGGGCAGAGGUAGUUGUUCCUGCCCUCCAGCAGCAGAGUGAUAUGCCGGGAAGGCAGUGUAAAGUGCAGGGAGAGGAGAGCAGCGUCCUCCCUCCCCAGCGGCAGGCUGAGUUACAGGGGGCAGAGGUAGUUGUUCCUGCCCCCCAGCAGCAGAGUGAUAUGCCGGGAAGGCAGUGUGAAGUGCAGGGAGAGGAGAGCAGUGUCCUCCCUCCCCAGCGACAGGCUGAGUUACAGGGGGCAGAGGUAGUUGUUCCUGCCCCCCAGCAGCCAAGUGAUAUGCCAGGAAGGCAGUGUGAAGUCCAGGGAGAGGAGAGCAGUGUCCUCCCUCCCCAGCGGCAGCG
Non-coding RNA from Pelobates cultripes (western spadefoot toad), 672 nucleotides. Lineage: Eukaryota; Metazoa; Chordata; Amphibia; Anura; Pelobatidae. The record is from the annotation of a GenBank genome assembly.